GACGAACGCUGGCGGCGUGCUUAACACAUGCAAGUCGAGCGGUAAGGCCCUUUCGGGGGUACGACGAGCGGCGAACGGGUGAGUAACACCUGGGUGACCUGCCCUCAGCUCUGGGAUAAGCCUGGGAAACCGGGUCUAAUACUGGAUAUGACUCCAUGACGCAUGUUGUGGGGUGGAAAGCCUUGUGCGGCUGAGGAUGGGCCCGCGGCCUAUCAGCUUGUUGGG
Molecule: ribosomal RNA, 225 nt
Filed under: uncultured bacterium
Lineage: Bacteria
Description: partial 16S ribosomal RNA
Rfam family: Bacterial small subunit ribosomal RNA
Source: RNAcentral